UACGUAGGGUGCGAGCGUUGCCCGGAAUUACUGGGCGUAAAGAGCUCGUAGGUGGUUUGUCGCGUUGUCCGUGAAAACUCACAACUCAAUUGUGGGCGUGCGGGCGAUACGGGCAGACUGGAGUACUGCAGGGGAGACUGGAAUUCCUGGUGUAGCGGUGGAAUGCGCAGAUAUCAGGAGGAACACCGGUGGCGAAGGCGGGUCUCUGGGCAGUAACUGACGCUGAGGAGCGAAAGCGUGGGGAGCGAACAGG
Molecule: ribosomal RNA, 253 nt
Filed under: uncultured bacterium
Lineage: Bacteria
Description: partial 16S ribosomal RNA
Rfam family: Bacterial small subunit ribosomal RNA
Source: RNAcentral